UGAGCUUGCCACUGAAGGGAGAGAAUCUCUUGAACUUAGUCUUCAUGUUGAGAUGGAGUGCUGUAUAGGCAGAGAACUCCUUCACAAAGUGGAGAGUAUUCUGAACUGGCUGGAAGCUUUUGGAAGAAGGAUUUUUUGGGAAGGAGGGUACCUUUCCUAAAAGCACUGGUGUCUGCUAGCUACUGUCGGAAAAGGAGGAACCACUCUGCAUGGGCUAUCUUUUACUGUGCUGUACUGUCCUUAGUCUGUACUCUCACUCUCUAAACUGAGCAGGCAUUGAAAUAUAUUGCUUAAUAUUAUUCAGAAAGGAGUUGAUAAAUCUGUAGAUUAAAAAAAAAAAUACC
Lagopus leucura (white-tailed ptarmigan) is the source of this 344-nucleotide long non-coding RNA. RefSeq lists it as uncharacterized. The record is from RefSeq and is a predicted model, not a curated record. NCBI's taxonomy places the organism in Eukaryota, Metazoa, Chordata, Aves, Galliformes, Phasianidae. The transcript is spliced from 3 exons.